GAUGAACGCUAGCUACAGGCUUAACACAUGCAAGUCGAGGGGCAGCACUAGGUAGCAAUACUGAGGUGGCGACCGACGCACGGGUGCGUAACGCGUAUCCAACCUUCCCGUUACUCUUGGAUAGCCUUCCGAAAGGGAGAUUAAUACAGGAUGGUGUUUGAAUUCCGCAUGUUAUUCAAACUAAAGAUUUAUCGGUAACGGAUGGGGAUGCGUGACAUUAGGUAGAUGGCGGGGUAACGGCCCACCAUGCCUACGAUGUCUAGGGGUUCUGAGAGGAAGGUCCCCCACACUGGAACUGAGACACGGUCCAGACUCCUACGGGAGGCAGCAGUGAGGAAUAUUGGUCAAUGGUCUGACGACUGAACCAGCCAUGCCGCGUGAAGGUGACGGCCCUAUGGGUCUUAAACUUCUUUUGUAAGGGUAGCAAUAAGCUUUACGUGUAGAGUGAUGAGAGUACCUUACGAAUAAGCAUCGGCUAACUCCGUG
Molecule: ribosomal RNA, 486 nt
Filed under: uncultured bacterium
Lineage: Bacteria
Description: bacterial SSU rRNA
Rfam family: Bacterial small subunit ribosomal RNA
Source: RNAcentral